This 129-nucleotide small nucleolar RNA is filed under the name Cathartes aura (turkey vulture). RNAcentral describes it as "Small nucleolar RNA SNORA65". It matches the Rfam family "Small nucleolar RNA SNORA65". Rfam says of the family: U65 belongs to the H/ACA class of snoRNAs which are thought to guide the sites of modification of uridines to pseudouridines. Lineage: Eukaryota; Metazoa; Chordata; Aves; Accipitriformes; Cathartidae. The record is from Rfam by way of RNAcentral.
CCUGCCACCGUACCUCUCUCGUAAUGCAGCGACUAGUACAGUCCAGAGGUGAGCUGACAGAAAAUGCCAACUUAGGAAGCAGGGCUGUUCUUCUGGUGGGUAACUUUGUGCCCAGGUCUGGGAACAGGC